GACGAACGCUGGCGGCGUGCUUAACACAUGCAAGUCGAACGGAAAGGCCCUGCUUUUGUGGGGUGCUCGAGUGGCGAACGGGUGAGUAACACGUGAGUAACCUGCCCUUGACUUUGGGUUAACUUCAGGAAACUGGGGCUAAUACCGGAUAGGAGCUCCUGCUGCAUGGUGGGGGUUGGAAAGUUUCGGCGGUUGGGGAUGGACUCGCGGCUUAUCAGCUUGUUGGUGGGGUAGUGGCUUACCAAGGCUUUGACGGGUAGCCGGCCUGAGAGGGUGACCGGCUACAUUGGGACUGAGAUACGGCCCAGACUCCUACGGGAGGCAGCAGUGGGGAAUAUUGCACAAUGGGCGGAAGCCUGAUGCAGCAACGCCGCGUGCGGGAUGACGGCCUUCGGGUUGUAAACCGCUUUCGCCUGUGACGAAGCGUGAGUGACGGUAAUGGGUAAAGAAGCACCGGCUAACUACGUG
Molecule: ribosomal RNA, 468 nt
Filed under: uncultured bacterium
Lineage: Bacteria
Description: partial 16S ribosomal RNA
Rfam family: Bacterial small subunit ribosomal RNA
Source: RNAcentral